UAAAAAGCUCGUAGUUGAAAUUGUGUCCUGCGGUGUCGGUCUACCGAAUGCGGUACGACAGGCACGUCUGCGGGGCUUCUCGCCGGUGCGUCCACCGCCGGCGUGUGUCGGUCGGCCUCACGGUCGGCCGCGCACCGAGGCGGGCCGUCGCGGCUGUUUACUUUGAACAAAUUAGAGUGCUCAAAGCGGGCUAACACUUGCCUGAAUAUUGUACGCAUGGAAUAAUAGAAUAGGACCUCGGUUCUGUUUUGUUGGCUUUCUGAUACCAGAGGUAAUGAUUAAUAGGGACGACUGGGGGCAUUCGUAUUGAGACGUUAGAGGUGAAAUUCUUGGAUCGUCGCAAGACGGACUAAAGCGAAAGCAUUUGCCAAAGGUGUUUUCAUUAAUCAAGAACGAAAGUUAGAGGUUCGAAGGCGAUUAGAUACCGCUGUAGUUCUAACCAUAAAUGAUGCCAGCCAGCGAUCCGCCGAAGUUUCAUAAUUUUAACCCGGUGGGCAGCUCCCGGGAAACCAAAGCUUUCGGGCUCCGGGG
Molecule: ribosomal RNA, 531 nt
Filed under: Limnephilus sp. OPU_BS_2017-281-IS-TR
Lineage: Eukaryota; Metazoa; Arthropoda; Insecta; Trichoptera; Limnephilidae
Description: SSU rRNA
Rfam family: Eukaryotic small subunit ribosomal RNA
Source: RNAcentral